CCGGGGCGGGGCGGGGAGAGGCGGGCGGCGGCGGCGGCUCCUCGGGGGCUGGCACCGAGCGGAGCGGCCGCUGGCCACGGCGGAGCGAUGAUCCGCAGGGAAGACACUGAACGGGCAGUGGAAAUUCUGACCAGAUACCAAAGCACCCUGCAGUCCCCGGAGGAGCAGGAGCUAAAAGCUUCCAUUGGAAAAGUCUCGCACAUCUUCCAAAGUGAACUCUUCCAGGCUCUGCUGGAUAUCCAUGAAUUCUACGACUUCACGCUGCGCUCCGCGCCCCUGCAGCCCCCCGGCCCAGACACGCACCAUGGCACUGCUCGGCAGCAGCAUGGGGCCGGCUCUGCCAUCCCACCCGCAGAGCCCCAGCACUCACCUGAGGACCCGUGCCGGGACGGCGAGCAGAGGCUCCCCGCAGGAGCUGGGGGCAGCGCACCGGGGACGCCGCCGCGGCUGGUGAGGGUGACGGCACGGAGGACGGCGGCACCGGCCAGCGUGUGCAGCCUGGUGCUCAGCUCCCGCAGCGCCCUGCCCCAGGUUCUGGGCACAUCUCAUUGAUGGAGCAACUCUAAGGUAUCACGAGGUGAGAGACAGCGGGCAGCCAAGGUGGACUUUUACUCUCAUGCAGGAGACACUGGCCACCUGCACGUUCCUACAAGGCUUAUUGCUCUGCUUUGGUGCAGCAAUCCCCUAGUUCAGCUUCACCCCGGCCCUCCCCUCCUUCCCACUUCUGCCCUCGCUGCUGCAAGAUGCCCCCUCUGCACGAGUGACAUCCCCCACCACCCUGGUCCUCCCUGGCUGUUGAGGAGGUUCAGCAUCUCACCUGAGCACAGGACCCUCCUGCAGGGCCAGCACCAUGUGCUCUGGGAGAUGGCACAAGCAGCAGGAGAAGAUGUGGAGAUGAUCCUCGUUUCUUAAAGCCUGAAGCAUAAAGCUCUCUGUUAAUGCCAGCGCUGCAUGUUUUCCUUCUGUGCACACAAACACGGUUUUUCAUUGAUUAAAAUAACUCUGAAGAAGCUCUCUUUGCAUGCAGGCAUCCAAUCCUUCCCUGCCUUAGUGAGCUCCUGGGGUCUGCAGCAUCCUGUGGCACUGAGCUGUUCAGGGCAGAAGCACUUUCUUAUACACAGCUUUUGGCUUCAUCUUGCCACAUCUCUGGGUCUUUGGGUCAGUGCCACAGUGUACACGGGUCCCGUAGCUGACUGUUCAUCAGUGGGAGCCCCUGGGAGUGCAGGAUGAGACUCACCAAAGGAGCUUCAAGGCCAGCAUGGUGAGGACAGGUUCUCUAGACUUGCUCAUCAGGGCACAUUGUGACUGUCCUAUCUUGCAUCUGGGGGAAUCUCAGUGUAGUGUAGCUGAGCUGCUCCAUGGCAUUGAGCACAGAGCACCUAUCCCGUGGUGGAGGUACCCUGAGCAGCCCAGAGGCAGUGAAGCACCGGCUGUGCUGCAGAGGAUGGGCUCUGAGCCGUGCAGCGGAGACCAUGGGGCUUGGGGACGUGGGAUGAUGGGGUGUCUUCUGCCCCCUCCCCUCUGCCCAGAACUCACCAUUUCACUUGGCUGCUUGGGAGCAAACAGUGCAGGAGCACCUCUGUCUGUGGUGGGCAAGUGCAGAAGUGAUUUGGCAUUGCAG
RNAcentral lists this long non-coding RNA (1621 nucleotides) under Strigops habroptila (Kakapo). Its description in RNAcentral is "lncRNA (ENSSHBG00005018200.1)". Lineage: Eukaryota; Metazoa; Chordata; Aves; Psittaciformes; Psittacidae. The record is from RNAcentral.